GUGGUGCGGCAACGGUGGUGCGACGACAGUGGUGCGACAGCGGUGGUGCGGCAGCGGUGGUGCGGCAGCGGCGGUGCAGCAGCGGCGGUGCGACAACGGUGGUGCGACAGCGUGGCGUUCUCCAAUGGCAGCGGUGACACUCUCCAACAACAACGGUGGUGCUCUCCAACGCAGCAGUGGCAGUGUAGGAAGAUGGUUGAACGAGAGUGAAAAUUGAUUGUAGAGAAGAUGAGAAAUGCUUGAGAUGAGAGUAAAGAAAAAAUGAAGAAACUAAUUUGUGAGAGAGUAAAAUAUACUCUUCUGCGCAGAGAGAGGGGAAAAAAUGGGCGGGAAUUUUGCCGCUCUUUUUACCAACGGAUUUACCGAUGGAAUAAAUCCUUCGGUAAUUACCGAAGGACUUA
Molecule: long non-coding RNA, 401 nt
Filed under: Vigna radiata
Lineage: Eukaryota; Viridiplantae; Streptophyta; Magnoliopsida; Fabales; Fabaceae
Description: long non-coding RNA (VRAD_LNC003602)
Source: RNAcentral